RNAcentral lists this ribosomal RNA (259 nucleotides) under Proteus vulgaris. RNAcentral describes it as "partial 16S ribosomal RNA". It matches the Rfam family "Bacterial small subunit ribosomal RNA", at positions 54 to 311 of the family's 1533-position model. The record is from RNAcentral. Lineage: Bacteria; Pseudomonadati; Pseudomonadota; Gammaproteobacteria; Enterobacterales; Morganellaceae.
CAUGCAGUCGAGCGGUAACAGAAGAAGCUUGCUUUCUUGCUGACGAGCGGCGGACGGGUGAGUAAUGUAUGGGGAUCUGCCCGAUAGAGGGGGAUAACUACUGGAAACGGUGGCUAAUACCGCAUGACGUCUACGGACCAAAGCAGGGGCUCUUCGGACCUUGCGCUAUCGGAUGAACCCAUAUGGGAUUAGCUAGUAGGUGAGGUAAUGGCUCACCUAGGCGACGAUCUCUAGCUGGUCUGAGAGGAUGAUCAACCAC